GUAAACAAUCACACUCUCUACUUAAACCCUGGACUUUCCUUCCGUCACUGCCGAGUAUUGUAUGCAUUAUCAAUAAACUGACUAAGUGAAGCCCGAGGUCCCUCUCGAAUGAGUUGUGACUUUAACGGCUGAUUAGUUUCCAGUUUAGAACUCACUCAAAUCUGGUCUCACCUGAUCUUCAGUGUUUGAGAGAUUUUUUUCAUUCUCCUCUUCAACAGCCGUUUCCACGGCGUCACUCACAAACUUCAGACUCCAGGGCGAAUUUUCAUCCUCCAGCAGAACCACGUUUAACGUGACCGAGGAGUUUCUGCAGCUUAACACGUCAAACC
Onychostoma macrolepis is the source of this 329-nucleotide long non-coding RNA. RefSeq lists it as uncharacterized. The record is from RefSeq and is a predicted model, not a curated record. Lineage: Eukaryota; Metazoa; Chordata; Actinopteri; Cypriniformes; Cyprinidae. The transcript is spliced from 3 exons.